Molecule: long non-coding RNA, 1018 nt
Filed under: Sus scrofa (pig)
Lineage: Eukaryota; Metazoa; Chordata; Mammalia; Artiodactyla; Suidae
Description: lncRNA (ENSSSCG00070028625.1)
Source: RNAcentral
AUGUAUGACAGAGAACAGAGAGGCUCGGUAUUUGCCCAGAGGCACACAGCAGGAUUCCGCCAGGGGAGCUUGGGUAGAGGUAAGGUGACUUGUGGGUGGUACCCGCAUUGUGUGUCUCUGGGCAUCAAGUCUACAUCUUUUUCCUCCAGAGAAGAAAUGUAUGAAGCAAGACCCCUCUCCAGGAGCCUCUUCUUGUACACCUUCCUGCAAAACCAUGGCCCCAGCUUCCUGGACGAGCAAGUGGUGGGGGUUCCUGGCGUGACCAAUAUCUUGGAGUUCCACCCCGAGGUCUCCCCCCACAGCAGUGAGGCCCCCCAUCACCUGGCCAUGCAGCUGGCCUCCAUUGCCGAUGAUCUGGAGCUGAGGUUGCUGCUGCCCCAGUUCGCCGAGCCACUCUGGAUGAUCGUGUACAGCUCUUUCUUCCCCUUUAGCCAGAUAGGCCCGAGGGAUGUUCUUCGAAGCUUCAUGAUUGCGUUCACGAACCUCAGGGAGAACCGAAGGCUCAGGAGCAUCUUGUCCCUCAGGGACAGGGUGUCUCCCAGCCUGUGGCCCGAGCUGGCGCUGUCCCUGCUGCUGGUGGUGAUGCUUGCCUGGAGGUGACCAGCUGCUGGCCAGUGUGGGGUGGGGCGGGCCCCUCCCCCUUGACCACCACCCUGGAGGUGGCCGUUUUGGAUUUGUUGUCUUUAACUGGUGAUCUUUUUUUUUUUUUUUUUAAAUAUUUAAACUCCAAGUGCUGGGACACUGAGGUUCAUAUUCAUUUUUUUCUUUUCUUUCUUUUUUUUGUAAGAGAAAUGAAUUCAUUAUACUUCCAGGGUCGUUACUGGUGAACGCACCUGCUCCCCUGGCCCAGCCCGCGCUGUGCCGAGAAGGUGCCUCCUCCUUGUGGGUUGGUCACAGCGGACGUCAGGGGGGGUGCUGGUCACACCCCUGUGUCUGUGAUGCCUGCGGCAAAAAAGAAUCUGCUGGAAUAGAUUUCUGCAGGGUGAGGAGAGCUCAAUAAAAUGUUGGUUUCCAGCCA